CACUGUGGUCUCGAGCGGCGACGGGUGAGUAACACGUGAGUAAUCUGCCCCCCACUUUGGGAUAGCCACCGGAAACGGUGAUUAAUACCGGAUAUGACCUCGCACCGCAUGGUGUGUGGUGGAAAGUUUUUCGGUGGGGGAUGUGCUCGCGGCCUAUCAGCUUGAUGGUGGGGUAAUGGCCUACCAUGGCUUCGACGGGUAGCCGGCCUGAGAGGGUGACCGGCCACACUGGGACUGAGACACGGCCCAGACUCCUACGGGAGGCAGCAGUGGGGAAUAUUGGACAAUGGGCGGAAGCCUGAUCCAGCAACGCCGCGUGAGGGAUGACGGCCUUCGGGUUGUAAACCUCUUUCAGCACAGACGAAGCGAAAGUGACGGUAUGUGCAGAAGAAGCACCGGCCAACUACGUGCCAGCAGCCGCGGUAAUACGUAGGGUGCGAGCGUUGUCCGGAAUUAUUGGGCGUAAAGGGCUCGUAGGCGGUUUGUCGCGUCGGGAGUGAAAACACACAGCUUAACUGUGUGCUGGCUUCCGAUACGGGCAGACUAGAGGUAUGCAGGGGAGAACGGAAUUCCUGGUGUAGCGGUGAAAUGCGCAGAUAUCAGGAGGAACACCGGUGGCGAAGGCGGUUCUCUGGGCAUUACCUGACGCUGAGGAGCGAAAGUGUGGGGAGCGAACAGGAUUAGAUACCCUGGUAGUCCACACCGUAAACGUUGGGCGCUAGGUGUGGGGCCUAUUCCAUGGGUUCCGUGCGCAGCUAACGCAUUAAGCGCCCCGCUGGGGAGUACGACGCAGCUAAACUCAAGAGUGACGGGGCCGCACAGCGCGGAGCAUGCGGAUUAAUUCGAUGCAA
Molecule: ribosomal RNA, 851 nt
Filed under: Nocardioides sp.
Lineage: Bacteria; Bacillati; Actinomycetota; Actinomycetes; Propionibacteriales; Nocardioidaceae
Description: bacterial SSU rRNA
Rfam family: Bacterial small subunit ribosomal RNA
Source: RNAcentral